GUGAAAGCACAAACAGUCCAUUGGUACGGGGGGAAGAAUAUACCCAACUCUGUUGCAAUUGACAAGCUUUAUGUUGAUGACAUCGUCACUCCUCCGGCAGAGGCUUCUGCGGAAUCAAGUAAUCCAGAACUGCAUUGGUUGAAAAGGGAAAAGACAUAAUUCAAGGAAACAGAAGAGGAUCUGUUCUUUAUGGUGGGAAACAGGCUAUAGGAGCCACAGGGAAUAUGGGUGUUGGGCAUGAAGAUCAAAACUUCACAGGAACACCAUGCUUUUUGCCAGAUAUCAAACAAUUGCAUCAGUCUAUUAUUGGUGAAGAUGAGGACUAGGAUUGGAGCCAAAAUAAAAGGGAGACAAGGAUGCAUACAAAGAACAGGAAGCAAAGCAACCAGCUAACCGUCAUAAUAUUUAUUUUGCUUUUAUGGAAUUUUACUCAUUGUUAAUUAUUAAUGAAUAUCAAAUAUCAAAUAUUCUAGUCUAUAAUAACUAGGAUAUGUUUUGUAGCAUAAAAACUUCUUUGUUGAAUACGUAAUGAACUUUGAACUUGAUGCA
Populus trichocarpa (black cottonwood) is the source of this 549-nucleotide long non-coding RNA. RefSeq lists it as uncharacterized. The transcript has 2 exons. NCBI's taxonomy places the organism in Eukaryota, Viridiplantae, Streptophyta, Magnoliopsida, Malpighiales, Salicaceae. The record is from RefSeq and is a predicted model, not a curated record.